This 253-nucleotide ribosomal RNA is filed under the name uncultured prokaryote. RNAcentral's name for it is "partial 16S ribosomal RNA". It matches the Rfam family "Bacterial small subunit ribosomal RNA", at positions 524 to 776 of the family's 1533-position model. The record is from RNAcentral.
UACGAAGGAGGCUAGCGUUGCUCGGAAUCACUGGGCGUAAAGCGCACGUAGGCGGCUUUUUAAGUCAGGGGUGAAAUCCUGGAGCUCAACUCCAGAACUGCCUUUGAUACUGAGAAGCUUGAGUCCGGGAGAGGUGAGUGGAACUGCGAGUGUAGAGGUGAAAUGCGUAGAUAUCGGAAGGAACACCAGUGGCGAAAGCGACUUCCUGGUCCAAUACUGACGUUCAUGUGCGAAAGCGUGGGGAGCAAACAGG